UUUGCAUUCGCCCCCCUGGUCCACGCCUCGAGCAUCACUCCAGCGCAACUUAAUCACCGCACGCAAACUCCCCAAUCCUCUUCCUCUCCCCCAACGAUCCUCUCCUCCGAUCCAAUCCCAAAUCACCGUCGGUCCAACCUCCAAUCCAGGGCCUCCCCCUCUCACCCCAAAUCGAUGGCAUCCCGUCCAUAUAAACAGCCGGCGAGGUGGCGUCCAUCGCACUGGAGCCAUGGCAGGCGGAGCAGAGGGCGGAGGAGCGAAAUCCGGCGAUGGCAAGCUAGUCAAGGCCAUCGCGACGGCCGGCAGCGCAGCACGCGACCGCAGCGGAUCUGGUUCUGGGGGCCCCGUCCGUGCGCGUCCAGGCAGGUUCCGACCGUGGUCGCCCUCGCCCUCGUACGUCAGUCGGCGGCGUCGGUUCGGUGUCGGAGCCAAGAUUGUCGACCCGGAUGAGGAUGCAGUGGGUGAUGGUGAAGCCGGUGUUGUGGCUAACCAGGACGGCGCGGCGGCAGGUGCUGGGCAAGAUGGCACGGCAGCAGGAGUGCGUCCUGGUGCUGACCAGGAUACCACGGCUGCAGGUGCUGGGCAUGUCGCCGAAAAGACCAGCAAGUAGUACUAGCUCUCUCUUCUUCGUCAAACUGAAUCUCUAUAUCUCCGGCAUACACACCAUAGUCCUCCGGGUCAACAUGAAGGUUAUCUAGAGCUUCAUCCAUUGCUUGCACUUCCUCUUCCAUGCUCUGGAAAAAACCACCGUGGUCUUCAAGUUCAUCGUCUACAAGGUCCUCUUCUCCAUGGGCAACAUCGGCCUCAUGUUCCUCUUCUUCAUGGGCAAUGUCGGCCUCAUGUUCUACAUGAAGACACCAUCAGGAUUAGCUACAGUAUGCAGAAGAAUUGAACAUGUGCAUAUGGUCAAGAUGUACCAUGGUUCAUGUUCAGAUCGAAGUGAUGUCCAGCCAGUGGUACUUCUUCAUGCAAGGGAGGCUCAUGUUCAUCUUCUCCAGCGAAUUGAUGGCCGGCCUGGAGUACUUCUUCAUGCAAGUGAGGCUCAAAACCAACCCGGGGUUCUUCAAGCAAGGCAGCCUCAUGUUCGUCCUCUACGGUGAAGAAGAAACAUCAGCAUGUGCACAUGUUCAAGGGGAACAAAUGAAAAGAUGAUCAAGAUGUACCUGGGUUCAUGUUCAGAUCGAAGUGAUGACCAAACUGGAGCACUUCCUCAUGCAAGGGAGGCUCAUGUUCAUCUUCUCCCUCUCCUGGUGCUAUAUUCAAGUCAAUGGCCAUGGUCUGUGUGUGUGUUGUUUUACUUGGUGCAACUGUGCUGGCUUUAUAGCUGGGCACAGACGCUUCAUCUACUGAAAUUGUAAACUUGGCGCCUCUAAUUUCUGUAAUCUGGCGCCUCUAAUUUUUAGUACUAGUUGUUGCUGGCGGGAAGUACUGUGGCGGGAGCAAAAUUCUAUUGGUAAAGUUCUGUUUUACUUCUC
Molecule: RNA transcript, 1475 nt
Organism: Triticum aestivum (bread wheat)
Lineage: Eukaryota; Viridiplantae; Streptophyta; Magnoliopsida; Poales; Poaceae
Exons: 3
Source: RefSeq, a predicted model, not a curated record